Molecule: ribosomal RNA, 497 nt
Filed under: uncultured bacterium
Lineage: Bacteria
Description: bacterial SSU rRNA
Rfam family: Bacterial small subunit ribosomal RNA
Source: RNAcentral
AAAUGAAUUGACGGGGACCCGCACAAGCAGCGGAGCAUGUGGUUUAAUUCGAAGCAACGCGAAGAACCUUACCAGGGCUUGACAUGCCCCUGACCAUCCUAGAGAUAGGAUUUUCCCUUCGGGGACAGGGGACACAGGUGGUGCAUGGUUGUCGUCAGCUCGUGUCGUGAGAUGUUGGGUUAAGUCCCGCAACGAGCGCAACCCCUGUUUUUAGUUGCUAACAGAUAAUGCUGAGCACUCUAAAGAGACUGCCGAUGAUAAAUCGGAGGAAGGUGGGGAUGACGUCAAAUCAUCAUGCCCUUUAUGUCCUGGGCUACACACGUGCUACAAUGGUCGGUACAACGAGGAGCAACACAGCGAUGUGAAGCAAAUCUCUAAAAGCCGAUCUCAGUUCGGAUUACAGGCUGCAAUUCGCCUGUAUGAAGCCGGAGUUGCUAGUAAUCGCGAAUCAGAAUGUCGCGGUGAAUGCGUUCCCGGGUCUUGCACACACCGCCCGU